GACGAACGCUGGCGGCGUGCUUAACACAUGCAAGUCGAACGGAAAGGCCCUGCUUUUGUGGGGUGCUCGAGUGGCGAACGGGUGAGUAACACGUGAGUAACCUGCCCUUGACUUUGGGAUAACUUCAGGAAACUGGGGCUAAUACCGGAUAGGAGCUCCUGCUGCAUGGUGGGGGUUGGAAAGUUUCGGCGGUUGGGGAUGGACUCGCGGCUUAUCAGCUUGUUGGUGGGGUAGUGGCUUACCAAGGCUUUGACGGGUAGCCGGCCUGAGAGGGUGACCGGCCAAAUGGGGACUGGGGAGCGGCCCAGCCCCCCACGGGGGGGAGGGGGGGGGAAUUUGGCACAAGGGGCGGAAGCCUGAUGGAACAACGCCGGGGGGGGGAUGACGGCCUUCGGGUUGUAAACCGCUUUCGCCUGGGACGAAGCGGGGUGGAGGGAAAUGGGUAAAGAAGCACCGGCUAACUACGG
This 467-nucleotide ribosomal RNA is filed under the name uncultured bacterium. RNAcentral's name for it is "partial 16S ribosomal RNA". It matches the Rfam family "Bacterial small subunit ribosomal RNA", at positions 28 to 506 of the family's 1533-position model. The record is from RNAcentral.